Molecule: non-coding RNA, 1865 nt
Organism: Chlorocebus sabaeus (green monkey)
Lineage: Eukaryota; Metazoa; Chordata; Mammalia; Primates; Cercopithecidae
Source: RefSeq, a predicted model, not a curated record
GGUAGGUGCAAUUACUAGUCUGAUUUUACAGAUGGGGAACCUGAGGUUCAGAGAGGGACAAUGCUUUGACUAAGGUUGUAUGGCUUGUGAGUGGCACGACAGAGUUGCACCUCAGGCUUUUGGGCCUGAGAGUCCCUAAGCACCCUCCACACUGCCUAUCCUCUGCCUCUGCUGGUAGGUCCUCUGUGCCAUACUGUGUUGGGCCAUGCUGGACCCUUCGAGUGAGCCCUGGUUCCACGAAGAAUGCUGCCCAAAAGGGCUUUGACCCAGCCCCUUCCAGCCUCCACCUCUCCAUGUCCUUGUGGACCACAAGAGAGGAAAACUGAGGCAUGGAGCUAUUCAGCAACUUCUCAGUUCACAGAGCCAGUAAGUGGUGGAGCUGACACUCGAAUCCAGGCCCUCUGGUUUCACAGCCUGUGCUCUGAAUUGCUUCACUUACAUAGAGGCUCAGGAUGAAGGUAAUUUAGUGAAGAUGAGGUCAGCUGGAUGGGCCCUAAUCCAGUAUGACCAUUGUCCUGAUAAGGAGAAGAAAUCUGGAUGCAGAUACGUGUAGAGGGAGAACACCCUGUGAGCAUGGAGAUGGUCAUCUAUAGCCAAGGACAGAGGCCUCCAGAAGCCAGCCCUGCUGACACGUCCAUCUCUGACUUCCAGACUCUGGCACUGCAAGGAAACACGUGUCUGGUGUUUAAGCCACUCAGUCUCUGGUACUUUGUUAUGGCAGCCCUAGCAAACGGAUACACUCAUGCAACAUCGAGCUAGUGACUUAACUUUCGGUGUGUCACAUAGUAGACUCAGUAACACCCUAUGAAGCAUGGGCACAUAGUAGGCCCUCAGCAAAUGCUGGCUUUGUCUCCCCUCCAGGCCUAGGAAUAGUGGCUGGCUGUCUCAGGGGAGGGGAGUGGGAAUGUUACUGAGUCAUCCUGCCUCAGCAUGGACCCAGGACACCUGACCCUCGAUCCUGCCCUCCUCUUUCCCCAGAAGAGCAAUCCUGCCCUCAGCCCCACCCCUGUCCUUGGAGGUGAGCAGAGUUCACAGCUUUCUGUGUGCCAGGCUGUGAGGUGAGCAGAGUUCAAAGCUGCUUUGCCUCUGCCCAUGCUCAGCAGCACACCUGCCGUGAACGGCUGACCAACUUGGCCAGGCACAGAGGGCAGGAGGGGAGGAGCCUCGGGUGCAGGGGCUGACAGGUGCGUUGGGGCAUUUUCCACAGUGUGUGCACGCUGCAUGCUGCAUUUUAUCUGAUGCUCAUAGCUACCCUCGGAGAGAAACUGAGGCCCAGAGGAGUUGAGGGACUCCCAUUCAGUUCACCUGUGCUGGGCUUAGGUCCUUGGUGUCCAGGCUCUGGCCAUGGCUGGACCACUUGCUUGCCCUCCAAGGCUUUGGGAGGCUAUGGGGGGUGGUGGGAGGCCCAUGGGCCCAGCAGUCACCUGACCUAGGCUCAAAUCUCAGCCGGACCAGCGACCAACCGUGUGACCCUGGGCCCUCCUUUGAUGGGAGGCUAAUCAUGCCCACCUCGCCAGGCUGUUGACAGGCUCAGUGAGAGGCCAUCUCCACCCCUGGAACUCUCAAGGGAGUUCUUGUGACUUUCACAAGAAACUGCUAAGUUACUGUUGCUGAAUCAAAUUCCUGGAGAGCCAGGAAGUAUGUCUGUGGGUGGGAGAGACGUCUGGCACUUCCAGGGGGGCCCCAAGGCUUCCUUCCCACAUGCCUGCCUCCCCCAGCGCCUGGCAGCCCUUGAGAGGGAAGAUAACAGAGGGGCCCAGAGGGUCUGAAAUUUACCUUGCUCCUACUUCCUGCCCACUGUACCUGUCUGCAUCCCUAGUUUCCCUGUCUGCAGUUCUGAGUUCAAUAAAUGUGGUUUUACUUUC